Molecule: ribosomal RNA, 497 nt
Filed under: uncultured bacterium
Lineage: Bacteria
Description: bacterial SSU rRNA
Rfam family: Bacterial small subunit ribosomal RNA
Source: RNAcentral
GAUCCUGGCUCAGAGCGAACGUUAGCGGCAGGCUUAACACAUGCAAGUCGAGCGAGAAAGGGGCUUCGGCUCCGAGUAAAGCGGCGGACGGGUGCGUAACACGUGGAUAAUCUGCCUCGUGGCGGGGGACAACAGUCCGAAAGGACUGCUAAUACCGCAUGUCAGGUCGGAAACUCCGGUUUCUGACGAAAAAGAGGGCGCCCGCAAGGGGCUCUCACCACGAGAUGAGUCCGCGUCCCAUCAGCUAGUUGGCGGUGUAAUAGACCACCAAGGCUUAGACGGGUAGCUGGUCUGAGAGGAUGACCAGCCACACUGGGACUGAGACACGGCCCAGACUCCUACGGGAGGCAGCAGUGGGGAAUAUUGGACAAUGGGCGAAAGCCUGAUCCAGCCAUGCCGCGUGAGUGAUGAAGGCCUUCGGGUCGUAAAGCUCUGUGGGGAGGGACGAAAAAGCGUGACCUAAUACGUCUCGCCUUGACGGUACCUCCUUAGCAAGC